UACGUAGGUGGCAAGCGUUAUCCGGAAUUACUGGGCGUAAAGCGCACGCAGGCGGUCUUUUAAGUUUGACGUGAAAGCUCCCGGCUUAACUGGGAGAGGUCGUUGAAUACUGGAAGACUUGAGGCAACGAGAGGGGUGUAGAAUUCCCGGUGUAGUGGUGGAAUGCGUAGAUAUCGGGGGGAAUACCAGUGGCGAAAGCGGCACCCUAGCGUUAGCCUGACGCUCAUGUGCGAAAGCGUGGGGAGCGAACGGG
RNAcentral lists this ribosomal RNA (253 nucleotides) under uncultured bacterium. Its description in RNAcentral is "partial 16S ribosomal RNA". It matches the Rfam family "Bacterial small subunit ribosomal RNA", at positions 524 to 776 of the family's 1533-position model. The record is from RNAcentral.